Molecule: ribosomal RNA, 466 nt
Filed under: uncultured bacterium
Lineage: Bacteria
Description: partial 16S ribosomal RNA
Rfam family: Bacterial small subunit ribosomal RNA
Source: RNAcentral
GACGAACGCUGGCGGCGUGCUUAACACAUGCAAGUCGUGCGGUAAGGCCCUUUCGGGGGUACACGAGCGGCGAACGGGUGAGUAACACGUGAGCAACCUGCCCUUCACUUUGGGAUAACUGCCGGAAAUGGUGGCUAAUACCGGAUAUGACUUCCUCACGCAUGUGGGGUGGUGGAAAGCCUUCGGGUGGUGGGGGAUGGGCUCGCGGUCUAUCAGCUUGUUGGUGGGGUGAUGGCCUACCAAGGCUUCGACGGGUAGCCGGCCUGAGAGGGUGACCGGCCACACUGGGCCUGAGACACGGCCCAGACUCCUACGGGGGGCAGCAGUGGGGAAUAUUGGACAAUGGGCGAAAGCCUGAUCCAGCAACGCCGCGUGAGGGAUGACGGCCUUCGGGUUGUAAACCUCUUUCGCCUGCGACGAAGCGAGAGUGACGGUAGCAGGUAAAGAAGCACCGGCCAACUACGUG